UGCUUUUGCUGGGGUUGCACCGUGUUGGUUCAGAGAUUUUUGUAAUGCAAAAAAACCUCAUGGUGUGAACUUGGGAACCAGGAACAUGGGUAUUUGUAGUCACUGUUUCAGCUGACUGGCUGCCAGUUGGAAGGAGCUUGGGUCCUCUCCAAACCUCUGGUGCUCUGAAGCUUUAUCGUGCCUCCAGGCUCCUCAAAGCAAGGUGUGUAGCUGAAACAGAGUUUGCAGAUACAACUGAAGAUUUGGAAAAGGGGUCCAUUUGGUGAAGGAAACUAGUAGGUUGAAGGGAAGGCUGUUCUGGAAAAUAUGAACUCUGGUGGUUGCUUGAAACUAAAUGACUUGACCUUAAAUAACAGGAGUUUCAAAGUGACAAUUCCUUUUCUACAGGAAUUUCCAGUGAAAUACUUCCAUCUUUAUAGGAAAGGUUUUUCCCUCCAUCUGUAAAUAAAUUUCUCUCUAAGGUAAUUCCAGAGAAGAGCCCCUAUGUAAGGCACAGAAACCUGUGCCUUUAAGGCACAGCUUGCUGCUGCUUCAUGAAAGGGUCUGAUAACAAUUUUGGAGCAGAGUUGGUGCUUUACCCACCCCCCCUCCCCUCCACUUCCAUAAAUCCUAAUGUAAUUUACCAAUCUUUGCUUAUUCUAGAUGAUUUUUCUUUUGGUAACGUGUAUUAAUGCUGCAAUGACCGCUGCUAGAAACUCCAAGCAGAAGAACUGCAACUGUCCGCUCGGCACCCAGCGCACUCCUGAGUGCACAGGAGGCUUCGGCUGCACAUCCCCGGAUCUUCUGAAGGCACCUGAUAACUCAAGAUAUUCUCUGAUUUCCCAGUCCUACAGCAAGUUCUACACCACAGCUGUAUCAGAGAAGCACUGGGAACAGGCUUUGGGCUCAUCGAGGUCUCAUCUGGCAGUGUGUCCUAGGUAGGCGGUAGAUAAUUUUUUCAUUAGUUUAUAAUUUCAUUGAAGAACUUGAGAAUAAAUAUU
This 980-nucleotide long non-coding RNA is filed under the name Calidris pugnax (ruff). RNAcentral describes it as "lncRNA (ENSCPUG00000002289.1)". Lineage: Eukaryota; Metazoa; Chordata; Aves; Charadriiformes; Scolopacidae. The record is from RNAcentral.